UACGUAGGUGACAAGCGUUGUCCGGAUUUACUGGGCGUAAAGAGCGCGCAGGCGGUCGUUCAAGUCGAGUGUGAAAGCCCCCGGCUCAACUGGGGAGGGUCAUUCGAUACUGAUCGACUCGAAGGCAGGAGAGGGUAGUGGAAUUCCCGGUGUAGUGGUGAAAUGCGUAGAUAUCAGGAGGAACACCGGUGGCGAAGGCGGAUCUCUGGGCCAUUACUGACGCUGAGGAGCGAAAGCGUGGGGAGCGAACAGG
RNAcentral lists this ribosomal RNA (253 nucleotides) under uncultured bacterium. RNAcentral's name for it is "partial 16S ribosomal RNA". It matches the Rfam family "Bacterial small subunit ribosomal RNA", at positions 524 to 776 of the family's 1533-position model. The record is from RNAcentral.